GUGCAACAUUUGUGUGAAAGCAAACAUAAUGCAAUGCGCAUGCGUCGCACGAAUCGUUUAACCAUCUUCACGAUGUAGAUGACGCUAUUAGUGUGUCAGUUUGUACCAGACAUAGGUCCGUAGUGUCCUCAUUAAUUACAGAUAUUUAAGAAUUCCACGAACUAGAGUAUAAGAGUACAGAAGUAGCAAGAACAGAGUUAAUAUAUUUUUCUUUAUAAUCCUGUAGCUGAAGGAUGCUAGUCGUGCAAUGUAUAUAUCCGGUAAAUAAAUUUCUUUUUUAAAUAUUUCCUCAAUAAUCGAAAAAGAAUAAAAAGAAGAUGAAAAAUAGAAAACAUAACCUUCAAAUCUAUAAUACGGAAGUUUGAAUUUUUCGAAGAAUUUUUCGCGUUUAUGUAGAUACAUAUGUGUAUAAGAAAAAUCAUUUAUUACGAACGUGUAUCCUCGCCGAACUCGACAUUCUUGUGUAUGAGUGCAUUGUCCGUGUGCCAAAAUGCCAGAGAGUUUAUUUUCAUUGUCUACAUUUAUAAACAGGUAUUUUCUAAGGAAUUAUAUAUGUGUAUGAAUAUCCCGCUCCAGUUCUUGGAAUUUUCAUAGGUAAAUUGUGUUCGAAUAUAUAUAUAUAUAUAUAUAUACAUAUAAGUAUAUAUAUAUAUAUGUAUAAAUAUGUAUAAUAUAUCUAUAUGUCACGUUUGUGGUCGCUUUUUUAUUUCCAUUGCUAUGUACAUUCAAUGUAUUACUCCGCCAUAUACAUAACAAACACGCACACACACAUAUCUUGUUUCACUUCUUCUCAAUAGUCGAGCGACAAAUUUUUUAUCUCUAAACACUUACUAAAGCGAUGUAUGUAAAGCGAUGAUAUAUAUAUAUAUAUAUAUAUAUAUAUAUAUAUAUAUAUAUAGAAAAAUGUAAAGAUAAAUAUAUGAAUCCUUCAAAUUAUUCAAUUUAUUGAUUACUUAUUAUUUCGCGAGUAAUAUAUAAAGCAUAAGGAUAAUAUAUUUAUGUGUGAUACAUAUGUGUGUGUGUUUAUUUUAUGUUUCUAUAUAUUAUAAAAAAUGUAAUUAUUUCAUUAGAAAAUUAUAGUCUAUAUUUAAAAUUCAUAUAUUAAUUGAAUUUGUCACGCUUUUCAUAUCCCGACAUAUUUGUAUCAUAUGUCUUUAUUAUUUUUUCUUGAAAAAAUUAAUAUAUGAAUUGACUCACGUUGUAUUGUUACGUAAUCGAGCUACAAAAUACACUUUGUUUCCUUCCUGAUGGUAUCAUCGCCACCUUGGAUAUGAUAACAAAUGUACAUGGUAUUUCAUCUCUUCGCAUAAUUAUAGAUUUUCAAGAAUUCUAUGAGAAUGAAAUAACACAAUAUUGUAUAUAUAUAUAUAUAUAUAUAUAGAGAGAGAGAGAGAGAGAGAGAGAAAGGGAGAAGGGAGAGGGUAAAUUCGGCAUGAAUUAGUAGCGUGUCUUUUUGAUAAUUUUACCAGUUAAGAAUAAAAGAAAAACAAGAUCAGGAAAGAUUUUCAUUUUUAUACAAUAUUUCGACGUGUCAGAUCUACGAAAGAGAAUUGUUUAAUUUCGUUAAUGUUUCAAGAAAUUAACCCAUUUAUAUCCAAGCGUGGAUAUAUCCGCGAGCUGUGACUGUCCUUUAUCAUCGAGCGCGGAUAUAUCCGCGAGACCGCCAUUACUUUUCAUUACCAGUUAUCGAAUAUUCUUCAGAUGUCACAGAUCACGUCUGAUCUCUUCAAUUUAUUAUAUUAUAAAUAAGUUUUAUUUUUGUUCUGUAAAUCUUUUAAACUGUCAUUAUGAGUAAAUGUUUUCAAUCUAUAUUUAAAUAUCAUCUAGCAAUGAUUCGAUAACACGAUAUACUGAUAGGCAUUUUCUUAUACAAAUAUCUGCAACUCUGACAAAAAGAAAAAGAACAUUAAAGCGAUACAUUUUAUGCUUAUCUAUGUCUUUACGAAAAGAAACAAUUUAUAAAUGUCAUGUUUGCGAUGUACCAUUAUGUAUUGAUUACUUUAACGAAUUCCACGAAAAAUAAAUUUGUUAUUUUAUCUAUAAAAUAAUUUUAAUUUUUUCUAUUUUAAUAAAAAAAAUAUAAAAUUCAUUGUUUGUGAUGUAUUAAACUAUUUUAAAAAGUAUAAUUCUGUUGUCAUGUACUGUACUUAUCGAACGACUACCGCACGGAUACGGGCCGAUCAUCAAUUGAACAUUACUGAUUUUUUUGAAUAUGGCACAUUAAGUAGACGCAUGAUGCGAAUGGGUUAAGAAACCAAUUUGGGAAUAAAGUUCGUUGAAGUCUAUUUGGAGACUGGCACCGACGAGAAAUGAAGAAAAAGACGGACAUAUUGGACGACUCAAGCGUUGAUUCAUCCUUUAUCUCGUCAUAUAAUUAUAUUAAUGGAUAGAUUUACAUAUGAACGUGUAGAACAAAUUGUACAUAUCUACAUAUAUAUAUAUAUCAUACACAUAUACAUAGAAAUUUUUUAUUAUUCUAAUAGAAACAAUAAAAUGAUAUUCGGGAAAGAAGCUAUGUCUUGUUGUAUAAUGAAAAAGUGAUCGUAAUCAAGUCCCAAGUUUAUCAAGUCAUCUCAUUUACAACCAUAGUGUCUUAAAAGCAAAAGUAAAUUGCAAUAUACUUUGCAACAGGUCAUAAAUAUAUCGAUUACUUUCUUCUAAAUAAUAUUAUU
Vespa velutina is the source of this 2672-nucleotide long non-coding RNA. RefSeq lists it as uncharacterized. Lineage: Eukaryota; Metazoa; Arthropoda; Insecta; Hymenoptera; Vespidae. The transcript is spliced from 4 exons. The record is from RefSeq and is a predicted model, not a curated record.